UAAUCAUCUAGAAGAACUCACAAGCUAUGAGUGACAUCUAACCAUAUAUCAUGGCUACCCAAGCUAAUGUAGAAGUUGUUCGGAGAACCUAUUCAGUUGGAAUUACAAUGUAAUUCGAUCAUUCUCUAAAACAAUACUCUCAAUCACAUCACUAGGGUAUGGAUAUAUUAUGUCAAACCCCUAAUGUGAUUAUUCCUUCUUACAUGAUUCAAUUGAGUCGUAUAGGAACGCUUUCCUUUAUUACGCUCGAUACUCCGGCCGAAGAUUCCAAACUUAUAUCUUAGAGUAUUCAUCCUCUCUUAACGAGGAUUAGAGAUUCCUUGUUGCGCAUUCACUUGCCUUCAUGACUAAGUGGCUUAACCCCGACUAUGCGGUGGACACCCGCGGAUGGAGUGACUUUGACAUAAUCAAAGAUCAAGUACUUAACCACAAGACAACGAUGAUGCCUCAGGUCAAAUGACUACUUACAUUAUUCCAACUAUUAGAGUUACUUGCUUGACAUGUGAGUAGACCUCCAUGCAAGUGCUCUCGUUCGAUUGUGUUCAGUGAACUCAUUCCCUUAAUGAGCACCUACAUACUUGUCUUAGUGUCACUACACGAAUGGGAUGAGACUUUCCAUCCUUCUAAUUGAAGCGGACAUAGUAUGUACCGGUCUAUGCAUUGUCAGUUUCCCUCCGACAAUCCUAUGACCAGGAACCUUUUGGACAUGAUGGUUAUGUGAAGAAGGUCUCUGUAGUCUAACUUCAUUAGAUUACUUCUUCAAUCGAUCCAUUGUCCAUGGAUUCACCAUUUAGGACAUAUAUCGUUUAUAGAGAUAGUCCUAAAUAGUAUCUUUGCCAUUUGAUGUAUAAGAGUCAUCUAUACAUCCAUUUAUUGUCCUAAAAGGUUUCUUCCAAAGAUUGACUUUCAGGGCAUAUUUCCAACAACCCAUCCCAUUCACCUUUAUCGUCACCCACUUAUUCCACUUGCAUAUUCCACUUGCAUGCACAUUUACCACCAAAAACCUUUUCACACUCCUUUUCCCUAAUAAAACCGGCCAACCCCAAGUGGGGGUGAUUUUGGGCCGUUUAUGCAAUUACAUAAAGUUUUGAUACUUUUGUGUUUUUGUAUUUUGGCCCAAAAGUUUACGUUUUUACGUUAAGGCCCAAAAACUCUAAAGGACAAAUUGUUUUGCUCCUUUAAUGAUGUUUUUACAUUAUUAAAAUUUUGGGUUCUAGUUGUAAUUACAUGAAGUUGUGGACUUUUGUGUUAUUACAAAGUGACCCCAAAAGUUUAUGUUUUUGCAUUGUGGCCCAAUUGUUGUGGUCAUAGUUUCCAUUUGGCCCAAAUAAGAUGAGAACAAAAUGGUUUUGUCUCUUUAAUGAGAAUUGGAUUUUCAUUUCAUUUAGUUCCAUUUGAAUCAAUUCUAUGGAUCCGAAAACCAAUUGUUUAAGUUGUUUUCUUAGUUAAUGUGAUUGAUUAAGAAAAGGGUGAUUAUGAACCAAAGGCCUCGAUAAUUGAGCCAUGUGAUUGGCCGAUUUACAUUAUGAAUGUUUGGGCUAAGUAGUUUAAGAUAUGAAUGUAAUUUGAUUAGUUCAAGUUUGUUUUAAAUGGACAUAAGUCCAUCUAAUUUGUUGUAAAAGGGCAUAAGCCCUUCUCUUUAUUUCAAGUAUUCCUAUUUGUUUAUUUGUAUGCAAAUUGGAAUAGUUGGGUCCAACACCCAAUAGGAAAUAACGGGUUAAUUGGAUUAAACGCGUAACUAAAAUCAACAACUACCUACCUUAGACCCAAGGUCCAACCAAGGCUCGUGUUGGAUCAAAUUAAACGGUUCAUAAUCAUCCUAAGACCUAAUAUGACUAUAUAGUCCAUAUGAGGAUGCAAAGCAUUUGUUAGUAGUUCCAUAUAGUCUCGCUUGUUUCAUCGACAUAGUGGGAGUAUUAUAUACUACUAAAUCAUAUUAACUUGGACCAAUGGUUGUGAUAGGCCCAAGUUCUUUUAAUAAGAUUAAAAUGUUUUUGAUGUAGCCCAACACUACUCCCUCAAUAAAACGAAUAUUAAGUUGAUAAGCGAGAGAUGCUUUGAACAUCUCUUCGUAGGCCUUCCACCAUGGUGGUCUUCAAUCGUUUGUGACUCAUACACCGUAUUCGUCCAGUUCUGGGGUAUGCAAAGUAUGUGCUUACAUUCAGGAGAAGCCUAUAAACAUAUGAUGAAGUGAAGGUAGGCAACGAGUAUGGUCAAUAUGAUAUUCUUCUGAGGCCAUUCUUGAACCCCUACUUGAACUAGCAUGGUAGGAAUGACUUAACUAAGUGCAAUGGUGCCAAUAUGAUAUUCUUCUGAGGCAUCAUUUUCUAGACGCCAAACUAGAUGGGUAAUUACAAAAGUUGUAAAUGGCUAAGGCGUUAUCCUCUCAUCAUUAUUAUUGCUAGCCAAUAUGAUAUUCUUCUGAGAUGGGCUUGGUAAUGGUGAGCCUCCCAUACCCCGCUAAGAGUUCAACAUAACUCUCGAAUUCCAUUGAGGGAUGUGGAAUUUGCCGAAAAUAGUGGGUGGUACUAUUUGAUUUAAGACCCAAUCAAGUAGUUUUUAAAAUCAACAAUCUAAUACGAUUUCUGUUAUGUUAUGUAGUUAACGACAUGCCUAAAAUAAUACCCACCAUUAUA
Molecule: long non-coding RNA, 2636 nt
Filed under: Malus domestica (apple)
Lineage: Eukaryota; Viridiplantae; Streptophyta; Magnoliopsida; Rosales; Rosaceae
Description: long non-coding RNA (MDOM_LNC018526)
Source: RNAcentral